Molecule: long non-coding RNA, 2015 nt
Filed under: Phocoena sinus (vaquita)
Lineage: Eukaryota; Metazoa; Chordata; Mammalia; Artiodactyla; Phocoenidae
Description: lncRNA (ENSPSNG00000003362.1)
Source: RNAcentral
GACAGCAUCUGUGCAUUGAGUAUCUGCCCUGUGCCUGGCCGGGAGCCACUGCCUUAAAGGGAGAACGUGAGCCCGGCGGACUUGCAAAGAAGGAAGGAGUUGUACUCAGCACGCAGCGAUGUGUGCAAGACUGCUGAGUGUUAGACAGUCCUGGUGCCAGCUCUCAUCUGAAGGUGAUUUCUGUUGCUUUAAUGUGUCCGAGUUCAGCUACAUUGUUCAUGAACUGAACUAGCUGUUCAUGAGAGCAGCAUACAGGGGCUCCUGUCGGCAGAGCUCAGAUGUUCUCCCCCCAUUUUCACCUUCCACAACACAAAAUGUUGUUGAAACCGUGGUCUCUCCCCAGGGAGUUUUGUUGUCAUUGAGGCUGAAGCAAUGAAACAGAUCCCUGCAAAGACAGCCAGAUGCCUCUUCUAGACGAUGGGGGUGAGUGUAGACCAGAAGGCAGGUAGGCAGCAGGGGGAAGGGCGGGGGGGCCCAGACCCACCCUGUGUGCCAUCUGACUUUGAGGCAGGCUGUAAUGGAGCCGUCUUAGGAGCAAUGGCGGGCUGUCAACGUGCCCUCCUGGGCCAGAGCCAGGCUGCUGUGACGUGGCCCAGGACCAAGCUUUUGGGAUGAGCUGGGCAGAGAGAUGGGUAGGGACUUAGUGCCAAAAUAGCAAUCCCAGAAAGCCUUGGGGCCUUUCACUCUUUGGGAGUGAUUUUUGCUGAAGAAGUUACAGUAGAAAUUCAGCAGAUCCAAGACCUCGAAAGUCCCCCAGAGGUUACUAAGUGCAGCCCCUUCCCCUAAGCAGGUCUUGCCUACAACCAUUCCAGAGCAAUGGUGUUUCAUUUGAAAUAUUUCUCAGGAAGGAUAUUUCAUAAACUCCCUAAUGCACUGGUACCAAAACAAAGCUGAGCAGAAAAAGAACAACAUAUUCUCUGGAGUGUAGCCAAACGCACUCCAAGAUGGAUACAGAUAUUUCAAAAGCAGUCAGUCAGUCAGCACACGUGCCAAUGUGCCUCUCUUCUGUGCCCUGUGGCGACAUGCCUUCCCAAUUAAAUUACCUUGAUAUGGCUCCGUGCUCCUGCUGGACUCUGAUUCAUUCUGAUGGGAACAACAUAUUCAGUUCAAAGAAAAGAGGUGGGCAGAAGUCUUUGCUCCUGAUAACAUCAGGACCUACUUUAGCCUCCUUGAUGUUCAGAUGAGCUGGAGAAAUUGGAAUUUAAUCGUCGAUUACUCCCAGUCCAAAGUCAGCUUGCAUUUUUAAGCUCAUUCAGGUACAAGUGAGUACCAAAAAUCAAUAUGUUCUGGAAACAGAAGGCUUAGAACAUCUUCCAUGCAUGGCUACAGAAGAAUCUGUUUUAAUGAGCUAGAAGGUAUGUGCUGUAUCUGGUCGCCCAUAAGCAUUAGUCACCAAUUACUUGUGUUACCAAUGCAAGAUGGUGUUCCUAAGGAGGUGACAGUGAGGAAAUAGAGGGAAUAAUUACCUGGCAUGUGUUUAGAGUGAGCGAUUAGAUAGGACAAAAAUCCGUGAGUAAAAGCACACUAAGAAUGAAGGAAUUAAUGCUGAGCUAAAGAUGUCUGCAAAAAUGUUUUUAAAAAAGGAAAAGGAAGGAAGAUGUUAGAACUUUGCCCAUGGAAGUAGGUGGCACUUCUGAGAUGCAGUAGCUCCAGUUUAAAUGAGCUCAAAGGAGUAUGCCCAGGCAUACCCCGCUGAGGACGAGAAAAGAAGUGUUUGCGGUGGUGGGUCUUACCUAAUAAGGAAAAUGGAGGUGAUUAGAUGGAAAACUGACAUGGUUGUUUAAGAAGUUUCCUUUCUUCUCGGACUGUAUGGUAACAUGGAGAGAUAGCCAAGACUCACCGAUCCCACGAUGGCCCCCACUCUGGUUUUAUAUUAAAACCCUUGAUCCAGGCAGGAGAACCUGGAAGAGACAUGUCUCUAGUGACAGUGGAGGCUUGGACAAGAUACCACGGUGGAAGCACAGAUGAGGUUUUCAUCCUUUCUAACACUGAAGAGAAGGUCAGGAAUAAGAUAC